GACGAACGCUGGCGGCGUGCUUAACACAUGCAAGUCGAACGGAAAGGCCCUGCUUUUGUGGGGUGCUCGAGUGGCGAACGGGUGAGUAACACGUGAGUAACCUGCCCUUGACUUUGGGAUAACUUCAGGAAACUGGGGCUAAUACCGGAUAGGAGCUCCUGCUGCAUGGUGGGGGUUGGAAAGUUUCGGCGGUUGGGGAUGGACUCGCGGCUUAUCAGCUUGUUGGUGGGGUAGUGGCUUACCAAGGCUUUGACGGGUAGCCGGCCUGAGAGGGUGACCGGCCACAUUGGGACUGAGAUACGGCCCAGAGUCCUACGGGAGGCAGCAGUGGGGAAUAUUGCAAAAUGGGCGGAAGCAUGAUGCAGCAACGCCGCGUGCGGGAUGACGGCCUUCGGGUUGUAAACCGCUUUCGCCUGUGACGAAGCGUGAGUGACGGUAAUGGGUAAAGAAGCACCGGCUAACUACGUG
RNAcentral lists this ribosomal RNA (468 nucleotides) under uncultured bacterium. RNAcentral describes it as "partial 16S ribosomal RNA". It matches the Rfam family "Bacterial small subunit ribosomal RNA", at positions 28 to 507 of the family's 1533-position model. The record is from RNAcentral.